UUUAUGUUGUUUGGAUACUGAUAGAAUGUUGUUAAAGAUGAAUUUUCCAGUUUUUUUUUAGUUUUUCAAAUGGAAAAGACAAUACUUGCUGCUAAAAGAUUAUAAUAUAUGCUAGGUACCUUAAAACUUGAGAAUGUGGAUGAAAUUUCUUGAUGUCGAUAACAACAUUGAUUAAAAUGUCACUGAGUCUUGUAUCUUUCAUUUAAUUCUUUGAUUGAAA
Molecule: long non-coding RNA, 220 nt
Filed under: Lathyrus oleraceus (garden pea)
Lineage: Eukaryota; Viridiplantae; Streptophyta; Magnoliopsida; Fabales; Fabaceae
Description: Pisum sativum (pea) long non-coding RNA (PSAT_LNC002930)
Source: RNAcentral